Molecule: small nuclear RNA, 80 nt
Organism: Oryctolagus cuniculus (rabbit)
Lineage: Eukaryota; Metazoa; Chordata; Mammalia; Lagomorpha; Leporidae
Gene: U2
Rfam family: U2 spliceosomal RNA
About the family: U2 is a small nuclear RNA (snRNA) component of the spliceosome (involved in pre-mRNA splicing).
Source: Ensembl
AUCGCUUCUCGGCCUUUUGGCUAAGAUCAAGUGUAGUAUCUGUUCUUAUCAGAAGCCACGAGCUUCUUCCUGGUCUCCCA